AUUGAACGCUGGCGGCAGGCCUAACACAUGCAAGUCGAACGGUAGCACAGAGAGCUUGCUCUCGGGUGACGAGUGGCGGACGGGUGAGUAAUGUCUGGGAAACUGCCCGAUGGAGGGGGAUAACUACUGGAAACGGUAGCUAAUACCGCAUAACGUCUUCGGACCAAAGUGGGGGACCUUCGGGCCUCACACCAUCGGAUGUGCCCAGAUGGGAUUAGCCAGUAGGUGGGGUAAUGGCUCACCUAGGCGACGAUCCCUAGCUGGUCUGAGAGGAUGACCAGCCACACUGGAACUGAGACACGGUCCAGACUCCUACGGGAGGCAGCAGUGGGGAAUAUUGCACAAUGGGCGCAAGCCUGAUGCAGCCAUGCCGCGUGUAUGAAGAAGGCCUUCGGGUUGUAAAGUACUUUCAGCGGGGAGGAAGGCGGUGAAGUUAAUAGCUUCAUCGAUUGACGUUACCCGCAGAAGAAGCACCGGCUAACUCCGUGCCAGCCGCCGCCGUAA
This 504-nucleotide ribosomal RNA is filed under the name uncultured bacterium. Its description in RNAcentral is "partial 16S ribosomal RNA". It matches the Rfam family "Bacterial small subunit ribosomal RNA", at positions 30 to 523 of the family's 1533-position model. The record is from RNAcentral.